UCAUCCGGCUUUCUUUCUCCCAGCAGACGCCCGCCCGCCUGGCCUGGCAGCCAUGAGGCCCCCAUGGUGUGGCCUGCGAGUGCGCUCCCGGCCUUCCCUCCUCCUCCUCCUCCUCCUCUCCCUCCUGGGUGGAGGACUGGAGGUGGAGGGGCGGGAGGAUCCAGAGCUGCUGGUGACCGUCCGGGGAGGCCACCUGCGCGGGAUUCGCCUGAAGGCGCCUGGGGGCCCUGUGUCCGCGUUUCUGGGCAUCCCCUUCGCGGAGCCACCUGUAGGUCCCCGUCGAUUUCUGCCACCAGAGCCCAAGCGGCCCUGGCCAGGAGUACUGGACGCCACGACCUUCCAGAAUGUCUGCUAUCAAUACGUGGACACCCUGUACCCUGGUUUUGAGGGCACCGAGAUGUGGAACCCCAACCGUGAGCUGAGCGAGGACUGCCUGUACCUCAAUGUGUGGACACCGUACCCCCGGCCUGCAACCCCUGCACCAGUCCUCGUCUGGAUCUACGGAGGCGGCUUCUACAGCGGGGCCUCCUCCCUGGACGUGUACGACGGCCGCUUCCUGGCGCGGGCCGAGGGCACCGUGCUGGUAUCCAUGAACUACCGAGUGGGAAGUUUUGGCUUCUUGGCCCUGCCAGGAAGCAGAGAGGCCCCAGGCAACGUGGGCUUACUGGAUCAGAGGCUCGCACUGCAGUGGGUCCGAGAGAAUGUGGCAGUCUUUGGGGGGGACCCGGCGUCGGUGACCCUGUUUGGGGAGAGUGCAGGGGCAGCCUCUGUGGGCAUGCACCUGCUGUCCCCGCCCAGCCGGAGCCUCUUCCACAGGGCCAUCCUGCAGAGCGGGACCCCUAACGGGCCCUGGGCCACUGUGGGGGUGGGAGAGGCGCGUCGCAGGGCCACGCUGCUGGCCCGCCUCGUGGGUUGUCCCCCAGGCGGCACCGGCAGCAAUGACACAGAGCUAGUGGCCUGCCUGCGGACUCGGCCAGCUCAGGACCUGGUGGACCACGAGUGGCAUGUGUUACCUCAAGAAAGCAUCUUCCGCUUCUCCUUCGUGCCCGUGGUCGAUGGGGACUUCCUCAGUGACACCCCCGAGGCCCUGACCACCACCGGAGACUUCCACGGCUUGCAGGUGACGUGAGGGUGGGGGAGCUGGCGCCUCUGGGUCUCACCUGGCCCCCUCCCUUCACCCCAGGGAUCCAGGCAUGAGGGCCCCUUCACACCCACUCUCAGUGGUCCAGACUUAUGAGCCCAGGGCCACCUCCCCCCCCAAA
Molecule: RNA transcript, 1262 nt
Organism: Dipodomys ordii (Ord's kangaroo rat)
Lineage: Eukaryota; Metazoa; Chordata; Mammalia; Rodentia; Heteromyidae
Gene name: acetylcholinesterase pseudogene
Exons: 1
Source: RefSeq, a predicted model, not a curated record